Molecule: ribosomal RNA, 259 nt
Filed under: uncultured bacterium
Lineage: Bacteria
Description: partial 16S ribosomal RNA
Rfam family: Bacterial small subunit ribosomal RNA
Source: RNAcentral
GAUCCUGGCUCAGGAUGAACGCUGGCGGCGUGCUUAACACAUGCAAGUCGAACGGGAAACCUUUUAUUGAAGCUUCGGCAGAUUUAGCUGGUUUCUAGUGGCGGACGGGUGAGUAACGCGUGGGUAACCUGCCCUAUACAGGGGGAUAACAACCAGAAAUGGUUGCUAAUACCGCAUAAGCGCACAGGACCGCAUGGCCCGGUGUGAAAAACUCCGGUGGUAUAGGAUGGACCCGCGUUGGAUUAGCCAGUUGGCAGGG